AUGGCCAUUGUAUGGUUUACUUUCAUUUUCUUGCGACCUCUGUGCAUCAUGAUGCAAUUUUUAGCUACGCAUUUCUUUAUAAUUUUUUUCCUAUCUUUAAUACAAUGAUCGUGUACAGCAAAAGGAAUUAUCUCUUCAUGGGAUAGUUUAUGGGCUUGAGUGCCACUAGCUCUGUAGCCUCAUUCAGCUUGAUUUUUUUUUAAAAGAUGGAUUUGGUAAAUAGAAAAAUCAGGAGACAAAUGUUUCUGAAAGUUCCUGUUAUUAAUUUCAUAAUUAUCAUGGACUUCCACAUCAGUCUUUAAGUCAAGUAAUUAUCAGUACUGUUGCCUUUCUUAUAAACUGCAGUGUGUAGUAGUAAGCUUAUGUCACUAACUAUUUUCAUUUUUAGCGCUACUUUUAAUAUUUCUUUUCAUGGAUAAUAACUGGUUCCGAGUCUGGACAUGCAAAGUGAAACCCUGCAAGUUGAUAGGAUUAUCUAGUACCAGAAGAGAAGAAAUAAUAUGUUACUGCUUGUGUUGGUCUUUCAGAUAUCUUGACGACAUCUUACUGCUGACGACAUAAAGGUAUGCUCAACUUCGCAUAAGAUUCUCCGAUCUCAUCAGAAUUCAGUAAAUCCCAGAUUGGAGGACCUAGAGCAAGAAUGUAGUAAGAUGUCAAUGAGCACAGCCUUAGGUGAGCUGCAGUGGAACCAUGCAAGGGCAGUAAGUGCGAAGGAUCUCUCACAGAAUUUGAACCGUGAGGUUAAGGAACAAGGAAUCAUGAAAGCAGAAGAGAGCUGGACAAUCAGCAGCAUAUCCUGGGUGCUAUCUUGGUGACAGAAACCACUGACUCGGUGUCGUCUGUGGGUGAUCAUCAUGCAGAUAGUGCUUGAAGAGACUUUUUCGGAUCAGAUUGUGAAGGCAGAAAUGAAAGUCGAAUGCCACGCAAAAGGUGUAUAUGUGGUAGAGCUGCUCUCCAUUUCAUCUGUUGCCUUUGCAUAAUUUUUCUUGCGGUUGUCUUAUCGAAGUGGUGGAUUGAUGAUGAUGAGCUUUCUUAUGUGCUUCCAACAUAAAUGCCAAGGCGCGGUGGACUAUCAAUGAUGAGAUUAUGUAGUUCCAUCGUAAUGCCCAGUCGUUGUUGACAUUUUUUGUUUUUGUUUCUAAUUUUGUUUUUCUUGCAAUUAAUAUUGUUGUCUAUAGUGCUGAGUUUUCUAAAAUUUUUCUAUGGCAGUUUUGUAUUUUGACUGGCUAUAUACAUAAUAUGCUCUUACUAUAAUUGGAAUAGACUAUGAGCAAAAUGACUAGAGCCAAUGUGCAGUUUUUUAGGUUAUGGCUCUAAAGAAUCAGAGAUAUUUGUUUAUGGUUGCUGUUUUGGGGUUUCCCUAAGUUGUACAUGAUUGAGCUUUCUCCUUUGUCAUGGCAUGGAGCAUUGACAUGCUGCUACAUCUAGGGUUUCUUCACUUUUAAUAUAUUAAUUGUCAUGGUGGUGGUUUAUUGUUUUAGAAGUCAUGGCAUUGGCACUAAUUUAAAAUCUCCUUCCAAGAGUGAUGUGCAUGAUCUAAUAUGUGCAUUAUUUCCGUAUUUAUCUAAUGUUUCUUCAUACCCUAAUAGCUCCUUCUACAAGCGAGUCGGCAAAAAAUAAAAGAAGCACCCCUUUUUGAUGAGCGGAAAAAAAAGAGAAACAUGGAUAACAAGGUAGGAGGCCUUGCUUUUGAUCUGAUGAAAAAGACCUCAAGAUGGUCGGCGAUGAAGGCCAGCAUCCAGCUCGGCUCAUCCUAUGGUGAUGGUUGCAAUGGCAACAAUGGCCAUUGUGGCCAACAGUGGAUGAAGAAGGAAAAAAAAGGAAGAAAGAACCAAAAACAGAAGAGCCUCUCACAACUAAAUCCUUUGGUGAUGGUUGCAAUGGCAACAAUGGCCAUUGUAUGGUUUACUUUCAUUUUCUUGCGACCUCUGUGUAUCAUGAUGCAAUUUUUAGCUACACAUUUCUUUUUAAUUUUUUUCCUAUCUUUAAUACAAUGAUCAUGUACAACAAAAGGAAUUAUCUCUUCAUGGGAUAGUUUAUGGGCUUGCGUACCACUAGCUUUGUAGUUUCAUUCAGCUAGAUUUUUUUUUUAAAGAUGGAUUUGGUAAAUAGAAAAAUCAGG
RNAcentral lists this long non-coding RNA (2122 nucleotides) under Phoenix dactylifera (date palm). RNAcentral describes it as "long non-coding RNA (PDAC_LNC004734)". The record is from RNAcentral. Lineage: Eukaryota; Viridiplantae; Streptophyta; Magnoliopsida; Arecales; Arecaceae.